Molecule: long non-coding RNA, 434 nt
Filed under: Salmo salar (Atlantic salmon)
Lineage: Eukaryota; Metazoa; Chordata; Actinopteri; Salmoniformes; Salmonidae
Description: lncRNA (ENSSSAG00000116096.1)
Source: RNAcentral
CAUGUUUGAACGAACCUACAUGCGCGAGCAUUGCAUUUAUUAUGAACUUCAGAGCUGCGCUUGGAGAGAGCCAUAGGACGCGCUACCAACAUCAGGCUAAUGGAACGUGAAGUAUGGACUUUUUGACCGAAAAUACAUCUGUUGUGGACCUGGGAUGCUUUCUGAUGAAGACAACUAAAGCAUGGUGAGAGGGACAGGGCUGGGCAUACCAGGGUUUGGAUCAAUUCCUCCUCAAUUUAGUACAUUUGACUUCCUCCACCAUGUUUCUCUCCACCAUGGAGAAGCACACACAGAUGUUGGAUGUGAUCAGCAGUUUUGCAAUGACGAGCAUUGCCUUCCGUGUUGGUGUACCAUGCCAGACCCCAAAAUCUCCCGAGGGGACCGAGGGGAGGACACGUCCCAUGUUCCAGUGAUCGAUCUACGCACACUCCCAG